This 312-nucleotide unclassified non-coding RNA is filed under the name plant metagenome. RNAcentral describes it as "partial contains 5.8S ribosomal RNA, internal transcribed spacer 2, and large subunit ribosomal RNA". The stretch from base 1 to 105 matches the Rfam family "5.8S ribosomal RNA", at positions 50 to 154 of the family's 154-position model. The record is from RNAcentral.
AAGCUGCGAUAAGUAAUGUGAAUUGCAGAACUCAGUGAAUCAUCGAGUCUUUGAACGCACAUUGCGCCCUCUGGCAUUCCGGGGGGCAUGCCUGUCCGAGCGUCAUUACGCACCCUCAAGCCCGGCUUGUGUGAUGGGCCCUGGCGUCUCGUUCGCGAGACGGGCCCGAAAGGCAGCGGCGGCGUCGACCCGAUGAGCCCGAGCGUAUGGGGACUUUUGUCACACGUUUGCGGUGCGGACCGGCGCCUGCUUGACUUUUCUGAUUAUCCAGGUUGACCUCGGAUCAGGUAGGGAUACCCGCUGAACUUAAGC